Molecule: ribosomal RNA, 274 nt
Filed under: uncultured bacterium
Lineage: Bacteria
Description: partial 16S ribosomal RNA
Rfam family: Bacterial small subunit ribosomal RNA
Source: RNAcentral
AUACGGAGGGUGCAAGCGUUAUCCGGAAUCAUAGGGUUUAAAGGGUCCGCAGGCGGAUUAAUAAGUCAGUGGUGAAAUCCUCUGGCUCAACGAGAGAACUGCCAUUGAAACUGUUAGUCUUGAAUUCGGUCGAAGUAGGCGGAAUGUGUCAUGUAGCGGUGAAAUGCAUAGAUAUGACACAGAACACCGAUAGCGAAGGCAGCUUACUAGACCUGGAUUGACGCUCAUGGACGAAAGCGUGGGGAGCGAACAGGAUUAGAAACCCUUGUAGUCC